Molecule: microRNA, 25 nt
Filed under: Canis lupus familiaris (dog)
Lineage: Eukaryota; Metazoa; Chordata; Mammalia; Carnivora; Canidae
Description: cfa-miR-8819
Source: miRBase by way of RNAcentral
UGUCCCAGAAGUCUCAAGCAGUGUU